GAUGAACGCUAGCUACAGGCUUAACACAUGCAAGUCGAGGGGAAACGACAUCGUAAGCUUGCUUUUGAUGGGCGUCGACCGGCGCACGGGUGAGUAACGCGUAUCCAAGUUGCCCAUCACUUGGGAAUAACCUUGUGAAUGUAAGACUAAUACCCAAUGACAUCCCACGAAGACAUCUGAAUGGGAUCAAAGAUUUAUCGGUGAUGGAUGGGGAUGCGUCUGAUUAGCUUGUUGGCGGGGUAACGGCCCACCAAGGCAACGAUCAGUAGGGGUUCUGAGAGCAAGGCCCACCGCAUUGGAACUACGACACAGACCAAAAUGGUACGCGAGGCAGGGGUAAGUAGUACUAGGGGAUGAGCCAGAACCUGGACCAGCCAAGUAGGGUACAAGGUGCCGGGGGUAUGAGUUGUAAUCUGCUUUUAAAAGAGAAUACUGUGGGUCUCGCGAGACUUUUUGCAGGUACCUGAUGAAUAAGGACCGGCUAAUUCCGUG
This 492-nucleotide ribosomal RNA is filed under the name uncultured bacterium. Its description in RNAcentral is "partial 16S ribosomal RNA". It matches the Rfam family "Bacterial small subunit ribosomal RNA", at positions 28 to 507 of the family's 1533-position model. The record is from RNAcentral.